This 468-nucleotide ribosomal RNA is filed under the name uncultured bacterium. RNAcentral's name for it is "partial 16S ribosomal RNA". It matches the Rfam family "Bacterial small subunit ribosomal RNA", at positions 28 to 507 of the family's 1533-position model. The record is from RNAcentral.
GACGAACGCUGGCGGCGUGCUUAACACAUGCAAGUCGAACGGAAAGGCCCUGCUUUUGUGGGGUGCUCGAGUGGCGAACGGGUGAGUAACACGUGAGUAACCUGCCCUUGACUUUGGGAUAACUUCAGGAAACUGGGGCUAAUACCGGAUAUGAGCUCCUGCUGCAUGGUGUUGUUUGGAAAGUUUCGGCGGUUGGGGAUGGACUCGAGGCUUAUCCGCUUGUUGGUGGGGUAGUGGCUUACCAAGGCUUUGACGGGUAGCCGGCCUGAGAGGGUGACCGGCGACAUGGCGACUGAGAUACGGCCCAGACUGCUACGGGAGGCAGCAGUGGGGAAUAUUGCAGAACGGGCGGAAGCCUGAUGCAGAAACGCCGCGUGCGGGAUGACGGCCUUCGGGGUGUAAACCGCUUUCGCCUGUGACGAAGCGUGAGUGACGGUAAUGGGUAAAGAAGCACCGGCUAACUACGUG